UACAGAGGGUGCGAGCGUUAAUCGGAAUUACUGGGCGUAAAGCGUGCGCAGACGGUCACGUAAGUCGGGUGUGAAAGCCCCGGGCUCAACCUGGGAAUUGCAUUCGAGACUGCGUGGCUAGGGUGCGGAAGAGGGAAGCGGAAUUUCCGGUGUAGCGGUGAAAUGCGUAGAUAUCGGAAGGAACACCAGUGGCGAAAGCGGCUUCCUGGUCCAGCACC
RNAcentral lists this ribosomal RNA (218 nucleotides) under uncultured bacterium. Its description in RNAcentral is "partial 16S ribosomal RNA". It matches the Rfam family "Bacterial small subunit ribosomal RNA", at positions 524 to 741 of the family's 1533-position model. The record is from RNAcentral.